UAUUGGAGCGCCUGUACUUGUACCAAACUGGAUUAUUAUUUUGCCUUUGGUGGUGAUGGGCAGAUCAACACUGUGCAUUUAUUAUUGAAUUUUAUUGGAGCGCCUGUACUUGUACCAAACUGGAUUAUUAUUUUGCUUUUGGUGAUGGGCAGAUCAACACUGUGCAUUUAUUAUUGACUGUUAUUGGAGCUCCUGUACUUUUUCAAACUGGAUUAUUAUUUUGUUUUUGGUGAUGGGCAGAUCAACAC
Long non-coding RNA from Patella vulgata (common limpet), 248 nucleotides. RefSeq lists it as uncharacterized. The transcript is spliced from 3 exons. NCBI's taxonomy places the organism in Eukaryota, Metazoa, Mollusca, Gastropoda, Patellidae. The record is from RefSeq and is a predicted model, not a curated record.